Molecule: transfer RNA, 78 nt
Filed under: Actinomycetota bacterium
Lineage: Bacteria; Bacillati; Actinomycetota
Description: tRNA-Met
Source: RNAcentral
AACGGGGGGACAGAUUGUGACUUACCAGCGGGAUGUCGGCUCAUAACCCGAAGGUCGCGGGUUCGAAUCCCGCCCCCG